RNAcentral lists this ribosomal RNA (761 nucleotides) under uncultured Treponema sp. Its description in RNAcentral is "bacterial SSU rRNA". It matches the Rfam family "Bacterial small subunit ribosomal RNA", at positions 28 to 776 of the family's 1533-position model. The record is from RNAcentral. Lineage: Bacteria; Pseudomonadati; Spirochaetota; Spirochaetia; Treponematales; Treponemataceae.
AACGAACGCUGGCGGCGCGUCUUAAGCAUGCAAGUCGAACGGUAAGGGGGAGCUUGCUCUCCCCUAGAGUGGCGGACUGGUGAGUAACGCGUGGGUGACCUGCCCUGAAGAUGGGGAUAGCUAGUAGAAAUAUUAGAUAAUACCGAAUGUGCUCAUUUACAUAAAGGUAAAUGAGGAAAGGAGCUACGGCUCCGCUUCAGGAUGGGCCCGCGUCCCAUUAGCUGGUUGGUGAGGUAAAGGCCCACCAAGGCAACGAUGGGUAUCCGGCCUGAGAGGGUGAACGGACACAUUGGGACUGAGAUACGGCCCAAACUCCUACGGGAGGCAGCAGCUAAGAAUCUUCCGCAAUGGACGAAAGUCUGACGGAGCGACGCCGUGUGAAUGAAGAAGGCCGAAAGGUUGUAAAAUUCUUUUGCAGAUGAAGAAUAAGAAGAAGAGGGAAUGCUUCUUUGAUGACGGUAGUCAUGCGAAUAAGCCCCGGCUAAUUACGUGCCAGCAGCCGCGGUAACACGUAAGGGGCGAGCGUUGUUCGGAAUUAUUGGGCGUAAAGGGUAUGUAGGCGGUUAGGUAAGCCUGGUGUGAAAUCUACGAGCUCAACUCGUAAACUGCAUUGGGUACUGCUUGACUUGAAUCACGGAGGGGAAACCGGAAUUCCAAGUGUAGGGGUGGAAUCUGUAGAUAUUUGGAAGAACACCGGUGGCGAAGGCGGGUUUCUGGCCGAUGAUUGACGCUGAUAUACGAAGGUGCGGGGAGCAAACAGG